This 426-nucleotide ribosomal RNA is filed under the name uncultured bacterium. RNAcentral describes it as "bacterial SSU rRNA". It matches the Rfam family "Bacterial small subunit ribosomal RNA", at positions 8 to 448 of the family's 1533-position model. The record is from RNAcentral.
AGAGUUUGAUCCUGGCUCAGAAUCAACGCUGGCGGCGUGCCUAACACAUGCAAGUCGAACGAGAAAGUGGAGCAAUCCAUGAGUAAAGUGGCGCACGGGUGAGUAACACGUGACUAACCUACCCUUGAGUGGGGGAUAACCUAGGGAAACCUGGGCUAAUACCGCAUAAUACCUACGGGUCAAAGGAGCAAUUCGCUUUAGGAGGGGGUCGCGGCCGAUUAGUUAGUUGGCGGGGUAAUGGCCCACCAAGACAGUGAUCGGUAUCCGGCCUGAGAGGGCGCACGGACACACUGGAACUGAAACACGGUCCAGACUCCUACGGGAGGCAGCAGUGGGGAAUUUUGCGCAAUGGGGGAAACCCUGACGCAGCAACGCCGCGUGGAGGAUGAAGCCCCUUGGGGCGUAAACUCCUUUCGAUCGGGAAGA